This 231-nucleotide ribosomal RNA is filed under the name uncultured bacterium. RNAcentral describes it as "partial 16S ribosomal RNA". It matches the Rfam family "Bacterial small subunit ribosomal RNA", at positions 118 to 350 of the family's 1533-position model. The record is from RNAcentral.
UGAGCAACCUGCCCUUAGCUUUGGGAUAACCCUCGGAAACGGGGGCUAAUACCGAAUGUUCACUGCCGGGCGCAUGUUUGGUGGUGGAAAGUUUUUCGGCUGGGGAUGGGCUCGCGGCCUAUCAGCUUGUUGGUGGGGUGAUGGCCUACCAAGGCGAUGACGGGUAGCCGGCCUGAGAGGGCGACCGGCCACACUGGGACUGAGACACGGCCCAGACUCCUACGGGAGGCA